GUCUUUAGAUGCUCUGGUACUAUUAUCAAAAACAUCGGCUUAAAUCAAAUGUUUUACAUAAUAUGGAUGACUCUGCCUGUGAUAUGUGGAUGAUUGAAAAGCAUUAUCUGAUAAUUUCCUUGAGAUGUUAUAGACUUGUUCUGUUCUGUUAGUAAUUAUGUGACUCUCUGAGGAAGUUUAAUAGUCUAAAUCUUUUUUCCCCUCAAGAUAAAUUGUGCUUCUGCUUUCAAACGGCAACUUGUGUGACAACCAAAGGAAUAACAACUUCCUAUGAUUAAUUAAAUUGAUUAUUAUUAUUUUUGUUUAAACAUUUUGUUCAUAUAUUUUCAUAUACAUGUAAUACUUUUGUUACUUAAAAUUUUAUAAUUUAUUAUAUUAUUAAAGAUCAGUAUGUUUGUUUUGGUGUCACUAAAGUAUAAGAGUAGAAUUCUUUUAAGUAGGGCGGAAAAUAGUAAAAUCGUUAAGGAGUUUAGAGGGUAUAGUAAUCAUGGUCAAUUUAACUCAAAUCUUUUUGAGUCCAAAAAUCACUCCGAAAAUUUUAAAUAAAAAAAUAAAUAAAUAUAUAUAUAUAUAUAUAAUAAUGAUGUUUGCAAUUUUGACUAAAAUUAGAUAAUCUUAAUCAUAGGACUUAAGAUACUAUAAGGGCUCAACUGAAUCCAACAAAGGAGAGUAACUGUUGCAUAUUUUGACACAUUGAAGGGAGAGGUUCGAAGAUGCUCGAGCAACAGCCAGAGGUUUAUAUGCUUGUUGGUUGGAGGAGACCGAUGAAUCUUCUUCCUUGGUUGUCUUUUGUGAAGCUGUAUGGUUAGGUCUUAUAUGUUGUGCAUAAAAUUCAAGUCUGAAAAAUACAGGUUUGGAUAGUUCGGCUUCAUCCACUAACCAAGCAUAGCCCAUAUUAGACUGAUAAUUAGAUCAAUUGAAAUUGUUUUUUGCUUAAAUAUUUUCUCAUUCCAAGCCAGCCAAAUCGACCAUAGAAUUGCAUAGAAUAGUGUAUACCAUGUUAGUUUCUGGUUACUACUUACAAUAAGACUCUUCCAAGACAUAAACAGGGAUUUAACCGAACCUGGGAUAGACCAACUAAUGUUCCAUUGUCGAACACAUUUGUACUAGAUUUAUUGUGCAAAGGAGCAGUGCAGAAAGUGAUGAUCGAUAGUUUCUUUUUCGUCGCAGAAAGAGCAUUUGUUCACCAAGUUAACUAAACAUCUUCUUCUGUGUACAAAAUCAAAGAUAGGAAUACCUCCUUUUAGAACUUUCCAACAGAAUAUCUCCACGUUAGGUGAGGCGAUUUCCUUCCGGAUAUACUGGAUGAUUCGUAUUACAGUUUUAUGUAAAAUAUUGUAUUCGAAUCGAGUUUUAUAUAAAAAUUACAUAUCACAUUUGUAUCGACACGAAAAUAUAAAAUGUAAUUUUUUUAUUUUAUUAAACAUAUUUAUGAUUGUUUUUAAAAUUUUAAGUCUGUGUUAUCUUCAUUUAUUUUAUUCGUAUUAUUUUCGUGUCGUAUUAUCAUAUCGUAUUUCAAAUAAUCAGAUCUACUUCCAGAUGUAUUUUUGAUACGCUGAAUUAGGUACUAAUGUGGAAUCAAGAACUUUUUUGAAGGAUUUAGAGUUGAAAAGUCCAUUUGUUGUGUGCUGCCAUAUGAUCCUGUCAUGAGCUAUUGGGCAUAAAGUCACAGUGUUUAACAAGCUCGUGAGUUGGUUCCAUAAUUCCUGUUCCCAGUUAAACAAGUUUCUACGUAACUGACUUUCCCAACUCCAAGUUAUCCGAGUCCAAUUUCCGAUGUCUAAUAAGAAAAGUAAUCUUGGUGGGCAAGUUAAUGGUGUUAUAACAAGUAGAAGUUUCAAUUCAAAGAGAUAUGAGAAAAAAAAGGGGGGGGGGGGGGAGCUGUAAGUUUUUAGGACUGUUAGACACCUUGUGAGAGUGUUCAUAGAUGAUCGACCGAGAGUAUUUAUAAAUAAUCAAGCGAGAGUACUCAUUGAUGGCCAUGCAAGUGUGCUUACAGAUUGGGUUGAGAAUGAUUUGUAUUUGGUAAGUGUUUGUUCGGAUUAUGAUUGAUUGAGUAUUGAGUUAUGUAUUCAAUACUAUGUCAGCAUUCUAACCAAUGAUGUCUCAGCUGAAAGAUGUACUCUCGUGUUCUUGUACUAAAUUAUUCUACACAACAAAACCGUAUAGCAAAAGCAUAGAGCAUUUUCUUUGGGGUUGCUACCUUACUUGUACCAACCAGUAAGGAAGUAUCUCAGCAUAAAACAGAAACAACAUCCUAAGGCCUGUUGGAAAAGGCAAACAUACACCAAUGUGAAACAGAAGUAAACAAAUGGAUGAUGCAUGGUACUUAGAGAUCAUUCAACUUGACAAAGUGAAAUUAGAACUAAUAAACACAAACACUGCUUCGCCAUGUUUACAGAAUUUUGACUAGGAUAAUAUGGCAAUUAUACAAGAAGACAAUGAACAUAGAUAAUAUUGCAGAGUACGGAUAAUAGAUAAAAUAAAAACUUGAGUCUCACAAUUUGAUAUUCUUGAUAUAUUUUUAUAUUCUUAUAGCGAAAGAAUACGUAAAAAAGUUUUAUUUCUUGGUAAAAUAUAUAAAAGGAUAACGUGAGACAUAUAUAUUAGAGAUUAAUAUGUUGGAUAUCUAAAAGCAACUAAUUGAUUUGAAAUAUAUUAUUUAAAUCAUCAAUUCUUUGAUUUUCUUUAAUCUCUUGAUAAUUGUAUAUAUUCAAAAAAUUUAAAGAAAUAUUAAUAUUUCCAAUUUUGUUAAUCAUUGUUAUUUUUUUAAAUAUAAAUAAAAUUUUCUUUAAUGAAAGAAAAUCUUCGGUUCAUAUGUUAAAUGUGUUUGGAUUAAUAGAAGUGUGAUCUACAAGGUUAUGUAUGUAUCAAACAAUACACAUGACAUUCGCUCAGAUAUGAAAGAGCUUUGCUGUCUUUCUAUGAUUAAAACUUUAAACAACAAAUAAAGAGCAUUGCAAAUUGUUUUUUAUAAGUUUUAUGAUUGAAAUUAAUGGUUUGCAAUGUUGUGUAACUUAAUGCAUGAAUUAUUUCAUACCAGUAUGUGCCUUUUUUUUUGUUUCUAUAAUAAAAUUUCAAAUGUCAUUGUCCAUAUAAAUAAUAUUUUACCGAUGAUAUUAUCAUGGCCACAUUACCGCCAUCUACAAAUAUUAAAAUUUAAUUUCCUUCAAUUGUUUAGUUAGGAAUACACAAAUCAAUCAUAACUAAAAAAAAUAAAAUUAAUACUAUUUCUUACUAACAAUGAACUUAGUUUUUGGUUAAAGGAGGGAAAGGGUCAACUUGUUCAGUAAAAACCAAAAAGAUUUGGUCAACAACGUUGGUAGUUUUGUGCGGGUUCCAGAAUGAAUUGUUAAAAAAACUAAAUUGUUAGCACAGCUGUGAUGGAGCUAUUUUAAUUUAAAAGGCAUUAUUGUUCAUUGAAAAUGAUGUUGCAGGACAAAGAAGAAUGUUUUAUUUGUUUUCAAAGGAUGAAUAUCUAAUUGUCAAAAUCUUCUUUUGAGGUCAAAUUUUGAAAAUAAUUUUAUGUGUGACAAAUUUGCAAAAAAAUGACUCCAACUGUGCCACACCAUCGUUUGAAUGGGUUCCAGAUAGAGCUUAAAAUAAUUUAUUUAAAAAAAUAGAACAUAAAUAUUUGAUAAAAUAGAACAUAAUUUAUUUAAUCUUGAUGGGUUCUAUUUUUUGGGUUGGAGCUAUUGAUUGCUUCUUAUCUUGCUUUUUGAUUUUAUAGGUUUAAGGUUUGGUGGGUUGAUGAGUUUGCUUUGAGCUUUUCUGAUGGCUGUUGGGUCUUGUUGUAAGCUGUGUGCUAAGAAUGUCAUCGACUCUGUUUUUGCUUGUUUGAUGAUGUCCUGCUCAAUUUGUUGAUGGGUUCGAUUCUAGGUUGACUUGUUGGUAUGGUUGUUUGGGUUGGGCUUUGUUGCUUGUUCGGCUCAGUGAUUGUUUGUUGAUUGAGUGCUUUCUGACUUUGGGUUCUGCCGAUUUGCUGUACUUGUUUUGUCUUCUUUUUCAAUUGAUCUUCGCUGCUUGUAAUGGUCUUGUUGAAUUGUUGGUUUAGCCUUGCUGGUUAUUUUGAUGGACUCUGAUAGUGAAUUAUUAUUGUCCGGGCCUAUUCUAAUUGCCUCUUGCUUCCUUUUUUGUGAUUACAGAUUUGAGUCCUUAUAUAAGGAUUUAUGCAUUUUUAAUUUGGAAAAAUCAAUUUCACUAAGUUUGUGAUUUGAUUUGAUUUGAUUUUUCUGUCAAUUAAUUUUUCGUGAAUCAAGCCCAAGUUUUCCUUACUCAAAUGAUCUAUAAAUCUCAACAUUUAAUUCAAUCAAAGACCAAAUCCAGGAUAUUUGCAAGAUCCCACAUUUUGUUCUAUUUUUUUUUUUUUUUUUUAACCUUGACUUUGAACCUUUUUUUUUUACCAAAAUAGACCACAAACUAAAAAUUAAAACUAAAUUAAAGAAAGUUAAAUCUAAAUUAAAAUUAAAAUUAAAAUCAAAUUUAAUAUUGAAAUUGAAAUUGAAAUCAAAUUACAACUCCAAAUUAAAAAUUUUAGGCUUUUAUCCUAUUGGGCCUAAAGCUUUCCAAUCGAGGCCCAAUCUAUGGUCAAAGGCCCAUUCCAACUCAAAAAAAAUUUAGGAAAAAAUGGUGCAUCUACAAUUAUCUAUGAAGUUAUAUUAGCAAGUUAUGUAAAGGAAAUUCAAAUUUCUAUCGAGUUUUUAUUUAUUAAAAAAUAAAAAAGAGAUGUCUCAUAAGUAUGUGAUUUUUUAUGAUGAUUUACCCAUAAGAUAAGUCUAUGUUCAAUAAUUGAUCUUCAAAAAAGGUAUUUAUAUUUUAUAUGAGAAAUGGCCUUUUUUUUAUAUCUUUCGCAAAAAUGAAAAUUCUCCAUUUACUACCCUUUUAAGCUUAUUAUAUUUUUUUUAAAAAAAAAACUUUAACUAAAAAUCACCCUUAACCAUGGAGGGCAAAUUUUAGAAAAGAUUUGUUUGCAAAAAAAAAAAAAAAGACCCCAAAAGUUUUUAAGGACGAAGAUUGGAAAAACCCUUAUAUUAAAAGAAAGUUGAAUGCUACAAAUGAUCUAAGCGUAAAGUAGAAAGAACUCUUUAUGAGUAAAUUCUUUUCAAAAGAGAAAAUAAUGAAGAAAAACAAAUGUGAUGAAAUAAAAAAAUGCAAAAGAAAAAGGAAAAGGAAAUGUAAAGAAAUGGGGCAAAACACCAAGGUGUUUUAAAUAAUGAAAUAAUCAUUUGGUUUACACCCUUUCAAACAUAUGUUUUGUGCUUAUUUUUUUUUUUUUUCAUAACCCUUCAACUUUGCCUACGUUUUAUGCCUUAAAAAUUCAUUUUGAUCAAAUAUAAAUGCUUGAAAAUUAUUAAUUUUAAUUUUAAAAAACCUAUAACUAGAUUGAUUUAAUUUUUAAUUAUAAUUUGAAUAAUUUUAUUAUUUGAAAAAAUUUAAAAUUAUCUAAUUAUAAUUAAAAGAGGCUAUCAUACUUUUGUAAAAGGCUAUCCUACAUGUCAUUCAAAAAAAUUAUCUACAUAAGCAUCCAUAUAACAAACUUUAUGAGAUGUAUAUGUAUAUUGUAAUAUAAUAUAUAUGAUUUCUAUAGGUUUAUACAAAAUGGUUAAGAUUUGGUCGUGUUCUGGUUUCUUUUUUUAAUUAAGGUGAUAAUUUUUUAAUUUAAUUAUUUCUUUGGAUGAGGGUUCGAAAUGAGCUAGAUUUUUUUUAUUGUGACUUUAAUUUUUGUUGUUGUGUGUACUAUAGUGAUGGAACUUGGUUGUUCUAUGUAAGGAACUUCGAAGAACUAUUAUACUUUAGUGAAAUGACAUUCAUUACAUGUUAUCUCUAAUGAUUUUCGAAGUUGUCUACACAUAAAAAUUCUUGGGAUAAGAAUUCAAAUCGAGGUUUGAGACUCUAAAAUUACAACUACUUAUGGCAUAAUCGAUAAAAGCUAGCAAAGAAAAUUAUUAAACUAAUCAUAGAGCAUAACUAAAUAUGAUAGGAAUUUCAAGAGAAAAAAAAAAUGGAAAGAAUAGAUAUACCAUGUGAAACUAACCAAAAGUAAGCUUGAUGAUAGUAGAACAUUUUGCACCUCCAUUUAAUCUGUUGUCCAUUACAAAUAUCAAAACAAAAGAAAAAGUUCAACUUGAUAAAACUUUAAAAUUUUAGAAAGAAUAAUACUUUUACUAAAAAUAACAAGGGAAAUUUUAUUCAAUAACAAAAUUUUGAAGAAUAAAACAUCUGUAGAGAAAGAAAAAGUUCCACAACUUUUUUGAUAAAAAAAUUAAAUAAAUCAAAUUGGUAUACAACUUUAUUAUAUUAAUUAAUCAAAGCAUCAUUUUUAUUUUAUACAAAUAGGGAAUAUUGAAUAAAUAAUCAAUUAAAAGAUAAAAUAUAUUACUUGAUUGAAUGAAUAAUCCAUGAAAAAAUAAAAGGUCUAUAGACAACACCAGUAAAAAUAUAACAAUUUAUGUAUUUUUGUAGUUUUGUACAAUAUAUGAAAAAACAAAGUCAAAAUUAAACUAAAAGAGCUUACCUAAACCAAAUAGAAAAGAAAAAAUAAAUCCACCUUAAAUGGAAGACCUUAAAUGGAUAAGUAAUAAAAAAGUAAUGCUAAAGUUUGUGAGAAUAUAGAAUAUUGUUUCAAAAAUAAGUUGAAUAAAAAGCCAUAAAAGAAUCAAGCUAGAUAAUUUUAUUUAAAUCCAUAAAUAUAUUUAAAUAAUAAUUUUAUCUAUUUAAUUAUCUUAUAUUUAAUUAAUUUUUCAUUUAAAUUUUGAUAACUUUAAUCCAUAAAUAUAUUUAAAUAAUAGUUUUAUCCAUGGAUAACAUCUAAUCAGAUAAUAAUAUUUAAAUUUUGGUGUUUUAUACCUUUAUCUUUCAUAGAGAAAUAUCUAAUCAAAUAAUUAUUUGAUAAUUCUAGACUCAAGAAAUUUCAUCAAAGUGACUAACAUGGCUUGUUAGAGUUUAAAAGUUAUAUAACACAAGUUUUUUUCUUAAUGUUAUUUAAUUGUGCAUUGCGAUUUCAUUUGCAUAAAUAAAUGAAACAAAUUUAUUUAGUUUAUUUUCUUAUUUGUUUUUAAAUGAUAAUAAAAAAAGAUAUUACCUUAAAUGGGUUCUAAUUAAAUUUAUUACUAUUUGAGAAUAGAUAAAAGAAAUAUUACAGCUGAUAUGAAAAAAAAAAAUCCUACCCAAUGGAGUGAAUAAUAUGUUUAGUGAAAUAGUACCUAUCAUAAAAAAAAAGUAUGUUAGUUCUUAUAGUAGGAAUAGACUAAUAAAAAGCGAGAUUAAAUUAAUAGUGAAAAAAAUAUGUUUAGCUCAUAUAUUUCGUGGGACAUUGGGAAAACUAUAUAACUAAGAACUAUCAACAAUGAGAGCUUUUCUGAAGUUGUUUUGGUAUUUAUAUAUAUAUAUAUUUAAUAUUUUCUUAAAUAUUAAUAUUAAAAGUCUAUGACAAUAUUGACUUAAUUUUAAAUUUUAUUUUAAUUCAGAUAUAUUUAAAUAUAUUUUUUAAAACUAGUGGAUUAUUUAUUAAAUUAUUUUAUCUCUAACAAUAUAUUUAAAAUAAAAAUAAUACAAUAAUUAUUUAUAAAAAUAUUAAAGAUAUUAAAUAAUAUUUUAAAAAUUAUGAUAAAUUUAAAUAAUCAUAUUAAGUGCAAAUAAAUUGAAAAAGAUAAAUUACUUUUAAAUUGAGAUGAGGUCAUGUAUAAGAGAAAUAAAUUUUAUUAUAAUUUAAAUUAGUUUUUGAUUAAAUUUUAAAAAGUUUAGAUAAUUUAAUAAUUUAUAAAAAAUAUUUUUAUAAAUAAUUUAAAAUUAAUAAAUAUAUUACGUGUCAUCAUAAUAAGAAGUUUUAAAAAUUAUUUUAUGUGUCAAAAAAAGAAACUGUCUACAUAAGUAUCUAUGUUAACAAAUGCUAUAUGCUAACUAUAUAUAUUAUAAUAUAAUUUAUGUAUGUUGACACCAUUUUAUUUAUCUAUUUAUUUAUUUACUUAUUUAUUUUUCUUUUAUUUUAUUUUUUUUUUCUAGCAGCGGCUCUGACAACCACCAGUAGCCAUUCUGAUAGUCGAUGACUGCCCUAAUCGUAGGUGAUCAAAAUCUCAGAAAAUAUGAGAUUUUAAUUUUUUUUCUAUAAAUAGAGCUGUAAAAACACCACCAGAAAAAAAAGCUCAAAACCCUAAAAAAAAAUCUGCCAGAUUAAAAAAAAGAUAAAUUUUUAUCAAAAAAAAAAAUUCAAAGCAAAUCAAACACAUACAAACACAGAAACAACAACCUCUGGAUACGAGGACCACAACACCAAACAAAAAACAAUACAGACACAAAAAAUUUUUGGCCAAAUCUUUUAGGUUAGAUUUGUGUCAUUUGGAGCCACUUUUUCACAAAAACAGGCUUGGAUCUGGACUUAGAAGGCUUGAUGAAUCUUGGGAUUUUUCAAUGACCGACAAACGAUGGCCGGCACGAUGGAGUAGUGAUCGGAUUCUGAGUUGCUAGAAGGAGAAAGAGAAAGUAUGAGAGGAAGAGAGAGAAAGAGGAAGAAGAAAACAAAAAAAAAGCUAAUUGGGCCUUUAAAUAGCCUUUCAAAAUGACGUUGUUUAGGAGAGAAGCAAAACGACCCCGUUUCGAUCCCAGAGGAUCCGCACGUCGACUAGCAAUCCGACCCAGGAUCUGCGCACUUAACCCAAUAACCCGUUCUCCCUUUUAUCCCUUGAUCGGUCCAGUUGAACCGAUCUAGACUAGACUAGACCGAUGCCAAAUCACUAAACUUGAACCAAUCGGAUCAAACCGGAUUGAACCGCUGAACCAGCCCAGACUGGCGUUGACCGGACCAUUGACAGGUUCAGUUCAGGUAAAAAAAAAUUUUUUUUAAAUUUUUUUGUAUAUUAUUUUAAAUUUUAUUAUUAAUAUUCAUGCAUAUUAAAAUAUUUAUAUCUAUUAGAAUAAAUUUUUGUUGAAAUAAGUAAAAAUAUAUGAUAAAAUAUAUAAUAAAGUUUUUUUUGAUAAUUUUGUUAAUUUUAGAAUAAAUCUUAUAAAUUAAUAAAAAAAAUGUAAGAAAAAAAUUUUUUGUCCGACUAUGAGAUUCAAAGAUACUCCGAGUAAUGAUAUCUAUGAAAUCUCUAGGUGAAAUUUUUUUUUUAAAUACUACCAGUGUAUUGAAAUAUUUAUACCAAAUUUUUAAUAUAAUAAUUUUCUUUCUAUUAAAAUAAACAAAAUUAACUAAUUUAUUGAAAAAUAAAGUGAUAAAGGAAUAAUAAUAAAAAAUAAGAAAAAAGAAAAUUUUAUCCAAUGAUAAGAUUUUUAAAAGUAUUUCAAGUAGUGAUACUUUACGAAAUCUUUAGAUGAGAAUGUUUUUUUAAAUAUUACCAAUGUAUUGAAAUAUUUAUAAAAAAAAUUUCAAUAUAAUAAAAAUUCCUAUUUUCUUUUUUUUUAAAAUAAAAAUAUUAAUAAAACAAUUAAUAAAAUUAAAAAAAAAAGAAUAAAAUGUGUGCAUCAAUAUGGUAACAUUUUACAUUGUAUGCAUGAUAUAGUUUUUUUACAAAAAGUAAAUUUGAGCCUCAAAUGAUGAGAUUUUAAGGUAUUCCGAGAAACAAUGCCUAAGAAAUCUCUAGGUAAUAAAAGGUUCUUCUAAUGUUACUAAUGUACUGUAAUAUUUUAAGAAUUAUUUCGAUAAAAGAGUUUUAAUUUAUUUUUCUCAAAUAAAAUUUGAGCACUAAAAAAUUUCCAACAAAUGAAAAAAAGCAAAAAAAUUAUUUUUCAAACAUAAAAAAUAAGACUUUUUAUAUUAAAAUCAAUGGACAACACAUAGUUAAUUAGUACCGUUUUAAAUGGAUGUUGUGAGGGUGCUAAUUCUUCCCCACACGUAACGACUCCCGAACCCAAACCGUUACACAGAUCCUAAAAUUAUCCUCUUAAUAAAUUUUAAUUAAUUUUAAAAUUUUAUUAAAAUGAUAUAUUUUAAUAGGUGAUCAAUCACACAUAACAAAAAAAAAUUGGUGGCGACUCCGUUAUAUUUUAUUUCAUUUUCAAAUUCAUCAGACGGAUACAAAAUCGUUACGACAAUAUAUAUUAUGAUUUAUUUAAAAAGAUAAUAUAUUUAAAUUUAAAUUUGUUACAAACAAUUUAAAAAUUAUUUACAUAGUGAUAUACAAAUAAACAAAUUUAUUGAAUAAUUUUUUAUAAGUAAAAAAAUUUUAAAAGAUAAUGUAUUAUCACAUUUGAAAAUCUUAAAUUUUAAAAAUAUAUUUCUAGAUUAUUCAAAAAUUCAUUUAAUUUUAAAAAAAAUAAUGUAUCUAAAUUAUAUCUUAUUGUCAACAAUUUAGAAGUUUUCUAAUGUAAAUAUUCAGGUAAGCAAAUUUUUGUAGUAAUUUUUGAGGUGUUAAAUAAUAAAAUUAUUUAUAUAAACAUCCAUAUAAACAAUAUUUAAUUGAUAUUUCUGCAUUUUAUAAUAUAAUAUAAUAAUAUAUAUAAAUAUAUAUAUAUAUAUAUAUAUAUAUAUAUAUAUAUAAAUAUAUAUAUAUAUAUAUAUAUAUAUGAUUUGAUGCCUGAUUGUGUAUUUAAAAAAACCUACUAUAAAUACUCCCAAAUAUUCUAAUCUAUGUUCAACCAGCCCUAGAACUGGAUUACAGCAUCAGAUCCUCUCAAUUUGUUGGAAGAAAUUUUUUUUUUAAAAAACAAAGAGAUGCAGAUCGUUGUGAAGACGCCUAAUGAGAAGACUAUUACCCUCGAGGUUGAGAGCUCUGAUAGUAUCGAUAAUGUCAAGGCCAAGAUUCAGGUUUUUCUUUUUGCCCUCUUCGUUUUUCAUUUUGCUAUUUUUUAUCUGGGUUUGGUUUGUGAAGGAAGUUGACUUCUUGUUCGAUGGAUGAGAAAAGGAAGGAAACGAUAAAGGAAAUCAACUAUGAAUAUGUGUGAAAGGGAAACUGCAGUGACGGUUUAGGAAUUGAUUUUCUUGGUUUCUUUAUUUAAAUAUUGUACUGUAGAAUUCUUGGUUGACUUCUGUUUGGUUGACGAGAAGAGUACAGAAAGGAAAACUAAAGUUUAAAGAAAAAGAAUUCGAACUUAAAUUAUUCGAUGGGUAUAUGACAAAUAUAUUUUUAUUAAUUUUUGGGUUCCUUUUAUGCUAAAAUUUUGAAAUUAAUAGUGCUUAAAUUAUGCUGUGUCGUUCCAAGUUUGGACAAAUUAAUUAGAUGCUGUGAAGCCUGAAUUGAAAUUUUCUAGGAUUGGAAAUACUUUGAAUUCUGAAGUUUCCAAUGUAAAAAAUUUACUCAGAUUUUGUCUAAGACGGGAUUAAAUGGUUGCAAAAAUUGUGAUGGUCACCCAUGAUUAUUGUAUGAUUGAGUCUAAUGAUAAUAAAAUUGUCAAGAAUUUCUCCAAUUUGUUUUUGUUUAUUUUUGUCCGGUACAUUGGAGGUCGUAGCCUGGAAUAGCGGAAUGGGUUGUAGGAGUUGGGAUUCAAACUUUAGAUCUACUGAAUAUUACCUCUUAAAAAUGAUUUAAUGAAUUAACUGAGCAAAACACUAGGUCUAUUUGUGCUUUGUUUACUUUCAUAUUUGUACUACAUGGAAAAGCUUGAGGGGGUUGUGUCAGACUGCCUUUUCUUUCUCUUCCUGUAAUUAAACGUUUGCUGAUGGUGGACUAAGCUUUUACGGGACAAGGAAGGAAUUCCUCCUGAUCAGCAGAGAUUGAUUUUUGCUGGCAACCAGCUUGAAGAUGGUCGAACUCUGGCAGAUUAUAACAUCCAAAAGGAGUCUACUCUUCACUUGGUUUUGAGGGUUAGGGUAGGGACCAUGAUCAAGGUCAAGACUCUCACUGGGAAAGAAAUUGAGAUUGAUAUAGAACCCACUGAUACCAUUGAUCGGAUUAAGGAACGUGUUGAAGAGAAAGAAGGAAUUCCACCUGUGCAGCAAAGGUAUUUCUACUGUUCUUUGGGUUUUUUCUUUUGAAAUGGACUUGUCUAUGUUGCAUGAUUAACAAACUAACUCCUUUUACAUUAUUAUUUUGGUUUGUGUUAAUGCCUUGAAUGCUCCUAAAUUAUAGUGAAAUGUUUAAUGUGGUACUUGAAUUUUAAAAAUCUCUAAUGUGGUACUUAAACUAUGAAUCUAUUAACUAAUGUGGUACUCACCCCUAAUGUGACUAACUUCAAAUGAUGACAUAAGGCGUAUAAAAAAUCCUUCAAGUACCACAUUAGUUAACAAAUUCAUAAUUCAAGUAUCACAUUAGAGAUAUUUAAAGUUCAUUAUCACAUUAAACAUUUCACUAUAGUUUAGGGAUCAUUCGUGACAUUAUCCUUUUUAGUUUAAAUUCUGUACAAUAUUCUCCCUGAAUGAUGCCAUUUGAGUAUAAAAUGCUUGGCUUUAAUGGUUCACUUUUGUAAUUGUUGACACUUGAUGGAUCCAAUGUAUAAUCUUUUAGUUGCCUUGAUAUCUUAUUUCACUGAUUUGUCCCAUGGUUGCAGGCUCAUCUAUGCUGGGAAGCAGCUUGGAGAUGACAAGAUGGCUCGUGAGUACAACAUUGAGGGUGGCUCUGUACUUCAUAUUGUGCGCGCACUGAGAGGGGGAAGUCUUUAGAUGCUCUGCUACUAUUAUCAAAAACAUCGGCUUAAAUCAAAUGUUUUACAUAAUAUGGAUGACUCUGCCUGUGAUAUGUGGAUGAUUGAAAAGCAUUAUCUGAUAAUUUCCUUGAGAUGUUAUAGACUUGUUCUGUUCUGAUAGUACUUAUGUGACUCUCUGAGGAAGUUUAAUAGUCUAAAUCUUUUUUCCCCUCAAGAUAAAUUGUGCUUCUGCUUUCAAACCGGCAACUUGUGAGACAACCAAAAGGAAUAACAACUUCCUAUGAUUAAUUAAAUUGAUUAUUAUUAUUUUUGUUUAAACAUUUUGUUCAUAUAUUUUCAUAUACAUGUAAUACUUUUGUUACUUAAAAUUUUUAUAAUUUAUUAUAUUAUUAAAGAUCAUGUAUGUUUGUUUUGGUGUCACUAAAGUAUAAGAGUAGAGUUCUUUUAAGUAGGGGCUGAAAAUUGGUAAAAUCGUUAGGAGUUUAGAGGGUAUAGUAAUCCAUGGUCAAUUUAACUCAAAUCUUUUUGAGUCCAAAAAUCACUUCGAAAAUUUUAAAUAAAUAAAUAUAUAUAUAUAUAUAUAUAUAUAAUAAUGAUGUUUGCAAUUUUGACUAAAAUUAGAUAAUCUUAAUCAUAGGACUUAAGAUACUACAAGGGCUCAACUGAAUCCAACAAGGGAGAGUAACUGUUGCAUAUUUUGGCACAUUGAAGGGAGAGGUUCGAAGACGCUCGAGCGACAGCCAGAGGUUUAUAUGCUUGUUGGUUGGAGGAGACCGAUGAAUCUUCUUCCUUGGUUGUCUUUUGUGAAGCUGUAUGGUUAGGUCUUAUAUGUUGAGCUUGAAAUUCAAGUCUGAAAAAUACAGGUUUGGAUAGUUCGGCUUCAUCCACUAACCAAGCAUAGCCUAUAUUAGACUGAUAAUUAGAUCAAUUGAAAUUGUUUUUUGCUUAAAUAUUUUCUCAUUCCAAGCCAGCCAAAUCGACCAUAGAAUUGCAUAGAAUAGUGUAUCCCAUGUUAGUUUCUGGUUACUACUUACAAUAAGACUCGUCCAAGACAUAAACAGGGAUUUAACCGAACCUGGGAUAGACCAACUAAUGUUCCAUUGUCGAACACAUUUGUACUAGAUUUAUUGUGCAAAGGAGCAGUGCAGAAAGAGAUGAUCGAUAGUUUCUUUUUCGUCGCAGAAAGAGCAUUUGUUCACCAAGUUAACUAAACAUCUUCUUGUGUGUAAAAAAUCGAAGAUAGGAAUACCUCCUUUUAGAACUUUCCAACAGAAAAUCUCCACUUUAGGUGAGGGGAUUUCCUUUCGAAUAUAUUUGAUAAUUCGUAUUACAGUUUCAUGUAAAAUAUUGUAUUCAAAUUGAGUUUUAUAUAAAAAUUACAUAUCACGUUUGUAUCGACAUGAAAAUAUAAAAUGUAAUUUUUUGAUUUUAUUAAACAUAUUUAUGAUUUUUUAAAAAAUUUUAAGUCCGUGUUAUCUUCAUACCUUUUAUUCGUAUUGUUUUAUUAUCAUAUUAUCAUAUCGUAUUUCAAAUAGUCAGAUCUACUUCCAGAUUUAUUUUUCAUACGCUGAAUUAGAUACUAAUGUGGAAUCAAGAACUUUUCUAAAGGAUUUAGAGUUGAAAAGUCCAUUUGUUGUGUGCUGCAAUAUGAUCCUGUCAUGAACUGUUGGGCAUAAAGUCACAGUGUUUAACAAGCUCGUGAGUUGGUUCCAUAAUUCCUGUUCCCAGUUAAACAAGUUUCUACGUAACUGACUUUCCCAACUCCAAGUUAUCCGAGUCCAAUUUCCGAUGUCUAAUAGGAAAAGUAAUCUUGGUGGGCAAGUUGAUGGUGUUAUAACAAGUACAAGUUUCAAUUUAAAGAGAUAUGAGAAAAAAAAAGGGGGGGGGGGGGGAGCUGUAAGUGUAUAGGACUGUUAGACACCUUGUGAGAGUGUUCAUAGAUGAUCGACCGAGAGUAUUUAUAAAUAAUCAAGCGAGAGUACUCAUAGAUGGCCAUGCAAGUGUGCUUACAGAUUGGGUUGAGAAUGAUUUGUAUUUGGUAAGUGUUUGUUCGGAUUAUGAUUGAUUGAGUAUUGAGUUAUGUAUUCAAUACUAUGUCAGCAUUCCUACCAAUGAUGUCUCAGCUGAAAGAUGUACUCUCGUGUUCUUGUACUAAAUUAUUCUACACAACAAAACCGUAUAGCAAAAGCAUAGAGCAUUUUCUUUGGGGUUGCUACCUUACUUGUACCAACCAGUAAGGAAGUAUCUCAGCAUAAAACAGAAACAACAUCCUAGGGUCUGUUGGAAAAGGCAAACAUACACCAAUGUGAAACAGAAGUAAACAAAUGGAUGAUGCAUGGUACUUGGAGAUCAUUCCACUUGACAAAGUGAAAUUAGAACUAAUAAACACAAACACUGCUCCGCCAUGUUUACAGAAUUUUGACUAGGAUGAUAUGACAAUUAUACAAGAAGACAAUGAACAUAGAUAAUAUUGUAGAGUAGGGAUAAUAGAUAAAAUAAAAACUUGAGUCUCACAAUUUGAUAUUCUUGAUAUAUUUUUAUAUUCUUAUAGCGAAAGAAUACGUAAAAAAGUCUUAUUUGUUGGUAAAAUAUAUAAAAUGAUGACGUGAGAGAUAUAUAGUAGAGAUUAAUAUGUUGGAUAUCUAAAAGCAACUAAUUGAUUUGAAAUAUAUUAUUUAAAUCAUCAAUUCUUUGAUUUUCUUUAAUCUCUUGAUAAUUGUAUAUAUUCAAAAAAAUUUAAAGAAAUAUUAAUAUUUCCAAUUUUGUUAAUCAUUGUUAUUUUUUUAAAUAUAAAUAAAAUUUUCUUUAAUGAAAGAAAAUCUUCGGUUCAUAUGUUAAAUGUGUUUGGAUUAAUAGAAGUGUGAUCUACAAGGUUAUGCAUGUAUCAAACAAUACACAUGACAUUCGCUCAGAUAUGAAAGAGCUUUGCUGUCUUUCUAUGAUUAAAACUUUAAACAACAAAUAAAGAGCAUUGCAAAUUGUUUUUUAUAAGUUUUAUGAUUGAAAUUAAUGGUUUGCAAUGUUGUGUAACUUAAUGCAUGAAUUAUUUCAUACCAGUAUGUGCCUUUUUUUUGUUUCUAUAAUAAAAUUUCAAAUGUCAUUGUCCAUAUAAAUAAUAUUUUACCGAUGAUAUUAUCAUGGUCACAUUACCGCCAUCUACAAAUAUUAAAAUUUAAUUUCCUUCAAUUGUUUAGUUAGGAAUACACAAAUCAAUCAUAACUAAAAAAAAUAAAAUUCAAUACUAUUUCUUACUAACAAUGAACUUAGUUUUUGGUUAAAGGAGGGAAAAGGUCAACUUGUUCAGUAAAAACUAAAAAGAUUUGGUCAACAACGUUGGUAGUUUUGUGCGGGUUCCAGAAUGAAUUGUUAAAAAAACUAAAUUGUUAGCACAGCUGUGAUGGAGCUAUUUUAAUUUAAAAGGCAUUAUUGUUCAUUGAAAAUGAUGUUGCAGGACAAAGAAGAAUGUUUUAUCUGUUUUCAAAGGAUGAAUAUCUAAUUGUCAAAAUCUUCUUUUGAGGUCAAAUUUUGAAAAUAAUUUUAUGUGUGACAAAUUUGCAAAAAAAUGACUCCAACUGUGCCACACCAUCGCUUGAAUGGGUUCCAGAUAGAGCUUAAAAUAAUUUAUUUAAAAAAAUAGAACAUAAAUAUUUGAUAAAAUAGAACAUAAUUUAUUUAAUCUUGAUGGGUUCUGUUUUCUGGGUUGGAGCUCUUGAUUGCUUCUUGUCUUGCUUUUUGAUUUUGUAGGGUUAACGUUUGGUGGGUUGAUGAGUUUGCUUCGAGCUUUUCUGGUGGCUAUUGGGUCUUGUUGUAAGCUGUGUGCUAAGAAUGUCGUCGACUCUGUUUUUGCUUGUUGAUGAUUUCUUGCUCAAUUUGUUGAUGGGUUCCAUUCUAGGUUGACUUGUUGGUAUGGUUGUUUGGGUUGGGCUUUGUUGCUUGUUCGGCUUAGUGAUUGUUUGUUGAUUGAGUGCUUUCUGACUUUGGGUUCUGUCGAUUUGCUGUGCUUGUUUUGUCUUCUCUUUCAAUUGAUCUUAGCUGCUUGUAAUUGUCUUGUCAAAUUGUUGUUUUAUCCUUGCUGGUUAUUUUGAUGGACUCUGAUAGUGAAUUAUUGCUGUCCGGCCCUAUUCUAAUUGCCUCUUGCUUCCUUUCUUUGUGAUAACAGAUUUGAGUCCUUAUAUAAAGGAUUUAUGCAUUUUUAAUUUGGAAAAAUCAAUUUCACUAAAUUUGUGAUUUUAUUGUGAUUUUAUUUGAUUUGAUUUUUCUGUCAAUUAAUUUUCCAUGAAUCAAGCCCAAGUUUUCCUUACACAAAAGAUCUCUAAAUCUCAACAUUCAAUUUAAUCAAGACCAAAUCCAAGAUAUUUGCAAGAUCCCACAUUUUGUUCUAUUUCGUCUUUUUUUUUUUUUUUAACCUUGACUUUGAACCUUUUUUUUUACCAAAAUAUACCACAAACUAAAAAUUAAAACUAAAUUAAAGAAAGUUAAAUCUAAAUUAAAAUUAAAAUUAAAAUCAAAUUUAAUAUUGAAAUUGAAAUUGCAAUCAAAUUACAACUCAAAAUUAAAAAUUUUGGGCUUUUAUCCUAUUGGGCCUAAAGCUUUCCAACCAAGGCCCAUUCCAACUCAAAAAAAAUUUAGGAAAAAAUUGUGCAUCUACAAUUAUCUAUGAAGUUAUAUGAACAAGUUAUGUAAAGGAAAUUCAAAUUUCUAUAGAGUUUUUAUUUAUUAAAAAGCAAAAUAGAGAUGUCUCAUAAGUAUAUGGUUUUUUUUUUAUGAUUUACCCCUAAGAUAAGUCUAUGUUCAAUAAAUGAUUUUCAAAAAAGGUAUUUAUAUUUCAUAUGAGAAAUGGCCAUUUUUUUUAUAUUUUUCGCAAAAAUGAAAUUUCUCCAUUUACUACCCUUUUGAGCUUAUUAUAUUUAAAAAAAAAAAACUUUAACUAAAAAUUACCCUUAACAAUGGAGGGCAAAAUUUAAAAAAGAUUUGGUUGCAAAAAAAAAAAAAAAAAAACCCCAAAAGUUUUUAAGGAUGAAGAUUGGAAAAACCCUUAUAUUAAAAGAAAUAUGAAUGCUACAAAUGAUCUAAAGGUAAAGUAGAAAGAAUUUUUUAUGAGUAAAUUCUUUUCAAAAGAGAAAAUAAUGAAGAAAAACAAAUGUGAUGAAAUAAAAAGAUGCAAAAGAAAAAGGAAAAGGAAAUGUAAAGAAAUGAGGCAAAAUACCAAAGUGUUUUAAAUAAUGAAAUAAUCAUUUGGUUUACACCCUUUCAAACAUAUGUUUUGUGCCUAUUUUCUCUUUUUUUUCAUAACCCUUCAACUUUACUUACAUUUUAUGCCUUAAAAAUUCAUUUUGAUCAACUAUAAAUGCUUAAAAAUUAUUAAUUUUAAUUUUAAAAAACCUAUAUCUAGAUUGAUUUAAUUUUUAAUUAUAAUUUGAAUAAUUUUAUCAUUUGAAAAAAUUUAAAAUUAUCUAAUUUAUAAUUAAAAGAAGCUAUCAUACUUUUGUAAAAGGCUAUCCUACAUGUCAUUCAAAAAAAUUAUCUACAUAAGCAUCCAUAUAACAAACUUUAUGAGAUGUAUAUGUAUAUUGUAAUAUAAUAUAUAUGAUUUCUAUAGGUUUAUACAAAAUGGUUAAGAUUUGGUUGUGUUUUGGUUUCUUUUUUUAAUUAAGGUGAUAAUUUUUUAAUUUAAUUAUUUCUUUGGAUGAGGGGUUCGAAAUGCGUAAGCUUUUCUUUAUUGUGACUUUAAUUUUUGUUGUUGUGUGUACUAUAGUGAUGGAACUUGGUUGUUACGUGUAAGGAACUUUGAAGAAUGUAAGGAACUUUGAAGAACUAUUAUACUUUAGUGAAAUGACAUUCGUUACAUGUUAUCUCUGAUGAUUUUCGAGGUUAUCUACACAUAAAAAUUCUUGGGAUAAGAAUUCAAAUCAAGGUUUGAGACUAUAAAAUUACAACUACUUAUGGCAUAAUCGAUAAAAGCUAGCAAAGAAAAUUAUUAAACUAAUCAUAGAGCAUAACUAAAUAUGAUAGGAAUUUCAAGAGAAAAAAAAAUGGAAAGAAUAGAUAUACCAUGUGAAACCAACCAAAAGUAAGCUUGAUGAUAGUAGAACAUUUUACACCUCCAUUUAAUCUGUUAUCCACUACAAAUAUCAAAACAAAAGAAAAAGUUCAACUUGAUAAAACUUUAAAAUUUUAGAAAGAAUAAUACUUUUACUAAAAAUAACAAGGGAAAUUUUGUUUAAUAACAAAAAUUUGAAGAAUAAAACAUCUGCAGAGAAAGAAAAAGUUCCACAACUUUUUUGAUAAAAAAAUUAAAUAAAUUAAAUUGGUAUACAACUCUAUUAUAUUAAUUAAUCAGAGCAUCAUUUUUAUUUUAUACAAAUAGGAAAUAUUGAAUAAAUAAUCAGUUAAAAGAUAAAAUAUAUUACCUAAUUGAAUGAAUAAUCCAUGAAAAAAUAAAAGGUCUAUAGAUAACACCAGUAAAAAUAUAACAAUUUAUGUAUUUUUGUAGUUUUGUACAAUAUAUGAAAAAACAAUGUCAAAAUUAAACUAAGAAAGCUUACCUAAACCAAAUAGAAAAGAAAAAAUAAAUCCACCUUAAAUGGAAGACCUUAAAUGGAUCAGUAAUAAAAAAAUAAUGCUAAAGUUUGUGAGAAGAUGGAAUAUUGUUUGAAAAAUAAGUUGAAUAAAAAGCCAUAAAAGAAUCAAGCUAGAUAAUUUUAUUUAAUCCAUAAAUAUAUUUAAAUAAUAAUUUUAUCUAUUUAAUUAUCUUAUAUUUAAAUUGAUUUUUCAUUUAAAUUUUGUUAACUUUAAUCCAUAAAUAUAUUUAAAUAAUAAUUUUAUCCAUGGAUAACAUCUAAUCAGAUAAUAAUAUUUAAAUUUUGGUGUUUUAUACCUUUAUCUUUCAUAGAGAAAUAUCUAAUCAAAUAAUUAUUUGAUAACUCUAGACUCAAGAAAUUUCAUCAAAGUGACUAACAUGGCUUGUUAGAGUUUAAAGGUUAUAUAACACAAGUUUUCUUCUUAAUGUUAUUUAAUUGUGCAUUGCGAUUUCAUUUGCAUAAAUAAAUGAAACAAAUUUAUUUAGUUUAUUUUCUUAUUUGUUUUUAAAUGAUAAUAAAAAAAGACAUUACCUUAAAUGGGUUCUAAUUAAAUUUAUUACUAUUUGAGAAUAGAUAAAAGAAAUAUUACAACUGAUUUGAAAAAAAAAAAUCUUACCUAAUGGAGUGAAUAAUAGGUUCAAUGAAAUAGUACCUAUCAUAAAAAAAAAAACAUGUUAGUUAUUAUAGUAAGAAUAGACUAAUAAAAAACGAGAUUAAAUUAAUAGUGAAAAAAAUACGUUUAGCUCAUAUACUUCGUGGGACAUUGGAAAAAACUAUAUAACUAAGAACUAUCAACAACGAGAGCUUUUCUGAAGUUGUUUUGGUAUUUAUAUAUAUGUAUAUAUAUUUUUUUACAUUUUCUUAAAAUAUUAAUAUUAAAAGUCUAUGACAAAUAUUGAUUUAAAUUUAAAUUUUAUUUUAAUUCAGAUAUAUUUAAAUAUAUAUUUUAAAGUUAGUGGAUUAUUUAUUAAAUUAUUUUAUCUCUAACAAUAUAUUUAAAAAUUAAAAAUAAUACAAUAAUUAUUUAUAAAAAAUAUUAAAGAUAUUAAAUAAUAUUUUUAAAAAUUAUGAUAAAUUUAAAUAAUCAUAUUAAGUGCAGAUAAAUUGGAAAAGAUAAAUUACUUUAAAAUUAGUUUUAAAUUGAGAUGAGGUCAUGUAUAAGAGAAAUAAAUUUUAUUAUAAUUUAAAUUAGUUUUUGAUUAAAUUUUAAAAAGUUUAGAUAAUUUAAUAAUUUAUAAAAAAUAUUUUUAUAAAUAAUUUAAAAUUAAUAAAUAUAUUACGUGUCAUCAUAAUGAGAAGUUUUAAGAAUUAUUUUAUGUGUCAAAAAAAGAAACUGUCUACAUAAGUAUCUAUGUUAGCAAAUGCUAUAUGCUAACUAUAUAUAUUAUAAUAUAAUUUAUGUAUGUUGACACCAUUUUAUUUAUCUAUUUAUUUAUUUACUUAUUUAUUUUUAUUUUUAUUUUUAUUUUUUUUUUAUUUCCUUUUCUUUUUUUGGCAGUGGCUCUGACAGCCACUAGUAGCCGUUCUGACAGUCGAUGAUUGCCCUAAUCAUAGGUGAUCAAAAUCUCAAAAAAUAUGAGAUUUUGAUUUUCCUUUUGCUCUAUAAAUAAAGCUGUAAAAACACCAUCAGAAAAAAAAGCUUGAAACCUUCAAAAAAAAUCUGCCAAAUUAAAAAAAAAAACAACUUUCUGUCAAAUAAAAAAAUUCAAAGCAAACCAAACAUAUACAAACACAGAAACAACAGCCUUUCGAAACGAGGACCACAACGUCAAACAAAAAAUAAUACAGACACAAAAAAUUUUUUGACCGAAUCUUUUAGGUCAGAUCUGCGCCAUUUGGAGCUCAUUUUCACAAAAGCAGGCUUGGAUAUGGACUUAGAAGGCUGAGAUAAUCCAUUUUGUGAAUCUUGAAGAUUUUUCGGUGACCGACGAACGGUGGCCGGCACGGUGGAGCAGUGACCGGAUUCUGGGUUGCUAGAAAGAGAAAGAGAGAGAAAAAGGAAGAAGAAAAUAAAAAAAGCUUAUUAGGCCUUUAAAUAGCCUUUCAAAAUGACGUCGUUUAAGAAAAAGCAAAACGAUCCCGUUUCGAUCCCAGAGGAUCCGCACGUCAACUAGCAACCUGACUCGGGAUCUGCGCACCUAACCCAACGACCCGUUAUCCAUUUUGCCCUUUGACCGAUCCAAUUGAACCGACCCAGACUAGACUAGACCAAUGCCAAAUCACUAAACUCGAACCAAUAAGAUCAAAUCGGAUUGAACCGCUGAACUAGUCUAGACCCGUGUUGAUCAGACCGUUAACAAGUCCGGUUCAGGUAAAAAAAAUUUUUUUUUUGAAAUUUUUUUAUAUAUUAUUUUAAAUUUUAUUAUUAAUAUUCAUGCAUAUUAAAAUGUUUAUAUCUAUUAGAAUAAAUUUUUGUUGAAAUAAGUAAAAAUAUAUGAUAAAAUAUAUAAUAAAGUUUUUUUUUAUAAUUUUGUUAAUUUUAAAAUAAAUCUUAUAAAUUAAUAAAAAAAUGUAAAAAAAGAAAAUUUUUAUCCAACGGUUAUAUUCAAAGAUACUCCGAGUAGUGAUACCUAUGAAAUUUUUAGGUGAGAAGAUUUUUUUAAAUACUACCAGUGUAUUGGAGUAUUUAUAAAAGAUUUUUAAUAUAAUAAUUUUUUUUCUAUUAAUAAUAAAUAAAAUUAACUAAUUUACUGAAAAAUAAAGUGAUAAAGGAAUAGCAAUAAAAAAUAAGAAAAAAAAUAUUUUAUCCAAUGAUGGGAUUCUAAAAGUAUUUCGAGUGGUGAUGCUUUAUGAAAUCUUUAAGUGAGAAGGUUUUUUUAAAUAUUACCAGUGUAUUGAAAUAUUUAUAAAAAAACUUCAAUAUAAUAAAAAUUCUUCUUUUCUUCUUUUUUUAAAUGAAAAUAUUAAUAAAACAAUUAAUAAAAUUUUUAAAAAGAGAAUAAAAUGUGUGCAUCAAUAUGGUAACAUUCUGCAUUGUAUGUAUGACAUAGGUUUUUUACGAAAAGUAAAUUUGAGCCUCUAAUGAUGAGAUUUUAAGGUAUUCCGAGAAGCGAUGCCUAAGAAAUAUCCAGGUGAUAAAAGGUUCUUCUAAUGUUACCAAUGUACUAGAAUAUUUUAAGAAUUAUUUCGAUAAAAAAGUUCUAAUUUAUUUUUCUCAAAUAAAAUUUGAGCACUAAAAAAUUUUCAACAAAUGAAAAAAAUAAAAAAAAUUAUUUUUCAAACAUUGAAAAUAAAACUGUUUAUAUUAAAAUCAAUGGAUAACACAUAGUUAAUUAGUACCAUUUUAAACGGGACGUUACGGGGGUGCUAAUCCUUCCCCUCACAUAACCGACUCUCGAACCCAGACCGUUAUACAGACCCUAAAAUUAUUCUCUUAAUAAAUUUUAAUUAAUUUUAAGAUUUUAUUAAAAUGAUAUAUUUUAAUAAGUGGCCAAUCGCACCAGCCAAAAAAGAUUGGUGGCGACUCUGUUAUUUUUUAUUUCAUUUCUAAAUUCGUCAGGCGGACACAAAAUCGUUACGACAAUAUAUAUUAUGAUUUAUUUAAAAAGAUAAUAAAUUUAAAUUUAAAUUUGUUACAAACAAUUUAAAAAUUAUUUACAUAGUGAUAUACAAAUAAACAAAUUUAUUGAAUAAUUUUUUAUAAGUAAAAAAAAUUUCAAAAGAUAAUGUAUUAUCACAUUUGAAAAUCUUAAAUUUUAAAAAUAUAUUUCUAGAUUAUUCAAAAAUUCAUUUAAUUUAAAAAAAAAUAAUGUAUCUAAAUUAUAUCUUAUUGUCAAUAAUUUAGAAGUUUUCUAAUAUAAAUAUUCAAGUAAGCAAAUUUUUGUAGUAAUUUUUGACUUGUUAAAUAAUAAAAUUAUUUAUACAAACAUCCAUAUAAACAGUAUUUAAUUGAUAUUUUUGCAUUUUGUAAUAUAAUAUAAUAUUUUAUAUAUAUAUAUAUAUGUAUAUAUGUAUGAUUUGAUGCCUGAUUGUGUAUUUAAAAAAACCUACUAUAAAUAGUCUCAAAUAUUCUAAUCUAUCUUCAACCAGCCCUAGAACUGGAUUACAGCAUCAGAUCCUUUCAAUUUAUUGGAAGAAAAAUUUAUAAAAAAAAAAAAAAAGGGAUGCAGAUCUUUGUGAAGACGCUUACUGGGAAGACUAUUACUCUCGAGGUUGAGAGCUCUGAUACUAUCGAUAAUGUCAAGGCCAAGAUUCAGGUUUUUCUUUUUGCCCUCUUCGUUUUUCAUUUUGCUAUUUUUUAUCUGGGUUUUGUUUGUGAAGGAAGUUGACUUCUUGUUUGAUGGAUUAGAAAAGGAAGGAAACGAUAAAGGAAAACAACUAUGAAUAUGUGUGAAGGGAAACUGCAGUGACGGUUUACGAAUUGAUUUUCUUGGUUUCUUUAUCUAAAUAUUGUACUGUAGAAUUCUUGGUUGACUUUCUGUUUGGUUGACGAGAAAAGUACAGAAAGGAAAAAUAAAGUUUAAAGAAAAAGAAUUCGAACUUAAAUUAUUCGAUGGGUAUAUGACAAAUAUAUUUUUAUUAAUUUUUGGGUUCCUUUUUAUGCUAAAAUUUUGAAAUUAAUAGUGCUUAAAUUAUGCUGUGUCGUUCCAAGUUUGGAGAAAUUGGUUAGAUGCUGUGAAGCCUGAAUUGAAAAUUUCUAGGAUUGGAAAUACUUUGAAUUCUGAAGUUUCCAUUGUAAAAAAUUUACUCAGAUUUUGUCUAAGACGAAAUUAAAUGGUUGCAAAAAUUGUGAUGGUCACCCAUGAUUAUUGUAUGAUUCAGUCUAAUGAUAAUAAAAUUGUCAAGAAUUACUCCAAUUUGUUUUUGUUUAUUUUUGUCCGGUACAUUGGAGGUCGUAGCCUGGAAUAGCGGAAUGGGUUGUAGGAGUUGGGAUUCAAACUUUAGAUCUACUGAAUAUUACCUCUUAAAAAUGAUUUAAUGAAUUAACUGAGCUAAACACUAGGUCUAUUUGUGCUUUGUUUACUUUCUUAUUUGUACUACAUGGAAAAGCUUGAGGGGGGUUGUGUCAGACUGCCUUUUCUUUCUCUUCCUGUAAUUAAACGUUUGCUGAUGGUGGACUAAACUUUUACAGGACAAGGAAGGAAUACCUCCUGAUCAGCAGAGAUUGAUUUUUGCCGGCAAACAGCUUGAAGAUGGUCGAACUCUGGCAGAUUAUAACAUCCAAAAGGAGUCUACUCUUCACUUGGUUUUGAGGCUUAGGGGAGGGACUAUGAUCAAGGUCAAGACUCUCACUGGGAAAGAAAUUGAGAUUGAUAUCGAACCCACUGAUACCAUUGAUCGGAUUAAGGAACGUGUUGAAGAGAAAGAAGGAAUUCCACCUGUGCAGCAAAGGUAUUUCUACUGUUUUUUGGGUUUUUUCUUUUGAAAUGGACUUGUCUAUGUUGCAUGAUUAACAAACUAACUCCUUUUACAUUAUUAUUUUGGUUUGUGUUAAUGCCAUGAAUGCUCCUAAAUUAUAGUGAAAUGUUUAAUGUGUUACUUGAAUUUUAAAAAUCUCUAAUGCGGUACUUAAACUAUGAAUCUAUUAACUAAUGUGGUACUCACCCCUAAUGUGACUAACUUCAAAUGAUGACAUAAGGCGUAUAAACAAUCCUUCAAGUACCACAUUAGUUAACAAAUUCAUAAUUCAAGUAUCACAUUAGAGAUGUUUAAAGUUCAUUAUCACAUUAAAUAUUUCAGUAUAGUUUAGGGAUUAUUCGUGACAUUAUCCCUUUUAGUUUAAAUUCUGUACAAUAUUCUCCCUGAAUGAUGCCAUUUGAGUAUAAAAUACUUGGCUUUAAUGGUUCACUUUUGUAAUUGUUGACACUUGAUGGAUCCAAUGUAUAAUCUUUUAGUUGCCUUGAUUUUGUGAUGCCUUAUUUCACUGAUUUGUGCCAUGGUUGCAGGCUCAUCUAUGCUGGGAAGCAGCUUGGAGAUGACAAGACGGCUCGUGAGUACAACAUUGAGGGUGGCUCUGUACUUCAUCUUGUGCUCGCACUUAGAGGGGGAAGUCUUUAGAUGCUCUGCUACUAUUAUCAAAAACAUCGGCUUAAAUCAAAUGUUUUACAUAAUAUGGAUGACUCUGCAUGUGAUAUGUGGAUGAUUGAAAAGCAUUAUCUGAUAAUUUCCUUGAGAUGUUAUAGACUUGUUCUGUUCUGUUAGUAAUUAUGUGACUAUGAGGAAGUUUAAUAGUCUAAAUCUUUUUUCCCCUCAAGAUAAAUUGUGCUUCUGCUUUCAAACCGGGUACUUUUGAGACAACCAAAAGGAAUAACAACUGGCUAUGAUUAAUUAAAUUGAUUAUUAUUAUUUUUGUUUAAACAUUUUGUUCAUAUAUUUUCAUAUACAUGUAAUACUUUUGUUACUUAAAAUUUUUAUAAUUUAUUAUAUUAUUAGAGAUCAUGUAUGUUUGUUUUGGUGUCACUAAAGUAUACGAGCAGAAUUCUUUUAAGUAGGGCUGAAAAUUGGUAAAAUCGUUAGGAGUUUAGAGGGUAUAGGAAUCCAUGGUCAAUUUAACUCAAAUCUUUUUG
RNAcentral lists this long non-coding RNA (25603 nucleotides) under Durio zibethinus. RNAcentral's name for it is "long non-coding RNA (DZIB_LNC000261)". The record is from RNAcentral. Lineage: Eukaryota; Viridiplantae; Streptophyta; Magnoliopsida; Malvales; Malvaceae.